Molecule: ribosomal RNA, 424 nt
Filed under: uncultured bacterium
Lineage: Bacteria
Description: bacterial SSU rRNA
Rfam family: Bacterial small subunit ribosomal RNA
Source: RNAcentral
GGAAUAUUGGACAAUGGGGGAAACCCUGAUCCAGCAAUGCCGCGUGUGUGAAGAAGGCCUGCGGGUUGUAAAGCACUUUUAUCGGGAAAGAAACAGCUGGGGGCUAAUACCCUCCAGCCUUGACGGUACCCGUUGAAUAAGCACCGGCUAACUCCGUGCCAACAGCCGCGGUAAUACGGAGGGUGCAAGCGUUAAUCGGAAUUACUGGGCGUAAAUCUAGUGUAGGCGGCUGCAUAAGUCGGAUGUGAAAGCCCCGGGCUUAACCUGGGAAUUGCAUUCGAUACUGUGCAGCUAGAGUCUGAUAGAGGGAAGUGGAAUUCCAGGUGUAGCGGUGAAAUGCGUAGAUAUCUGGAAGAACACCAGUGGCGAAGGCGGCUUCCUGGAUCAAGACUGACGCUGAGGCUCGAAAGCGUGGGGAGCAAAC